CCUACGGGCGGCAGCAGUGGGGAAUAUUGCACAAUGGGCGCAAGCCUGAUGCAGCCAUGCCGCGUGUAUGAAGAAGGCCUUCGGGUUGUAAAGUACUUUCAGCGGGGAGGAAGGCGAUAAGGUUAAUAACCUUGUCGAUUGGCGUUACCCGCAGAAGAAGCACCGGCUAACUCCGUGCCAGCAGCCGCGGUAACACGGAGGGUGCAAGCGUUAAUCGGAAUUACUGGGCGUAAAGCGCACGCAGGCGGUCUGUCAAGUCGGAUGUGAAAUCCCCGGUCUCAACCUGGGAACUGUAUUCGAAACUGGCAGGCUGGAGUCUUGUAGAGGGGGGUAGAAUUCCAGGUGUAGCGGUGAAAUGCGUAGAGAUCUGGAGGAAUACCGGUGGCGAAGGCGGCCCCCUGGACAAAGACUGACGCUCAGGUGCGAAAGCGUGGGGAGCAAACAGGAUUAGAUACCCUUGUAGUC
RNAcentral lists this ribosomal RNA (465 nucleotides) under uncultured bacterium. Its description in RNAcentral is "bacterial SSU rRNA". It matches the Rfam family "Bacterial small subunit ribosomal RNA", at positions 338 to 795 of the family's 1533-position model. The record is from RNAcentral.